This 24-nucleotide non-coding RNA is filed under the name Arabidopsis thaliana (thale cress). The record is from RNAcentral. Lineage: Eukaryota; Viridiplantae; Streptophyta; Magnoliopsida; Brassicales; Brassicaceae.
UGUGAAAUAAAUACUGGAGUUGGG